This 990-nucleotide long non-coding RNA is filed under the name Fukomys damarensis (Damara mole-rat). RNAcentral describes it as "lncRNA (ENSFDAG00000026766.1)". The record is from RNAcentral. Lineage: Eukaryota; Metazoa; Chordata; Mammalia; Rodentia; Bathyergidae.
UCUUUAUUGAAGUUUCUCCACCUGGUGAAUCCAAGCCUCCUAAGCUGUGACUUUAGCCCCAGCGUUUCACAGAACAAAGGUCAUUCCCUCCCCAGGAAGCAUCGUGAGGACAACUCUUAAAGAAAAUUAAAACGUUUAUUCAGGUUGCUUUAUUUCUUCAGUACUUGGCACUCAGAAUAACAGAUAAUUUGAACAACAGCUGUAAUCUGCUGAGAUCUACUACGUGCCAGGACCAACGUGAAGGUAGAGCAAGCUCCUGUGACAGGAGGCGGGGCAAUGACGAGUGGCUGAAGGAAUGCAGGGAUUUGUUCCUCUCUAGCUCAAGAGAGAAAGGCUCAGGCCAUACACAGAGAAAGGAGAGCGAUGAAAACCUCCUGAGAAGGACUCAGACUUUGCUGGUGUCCAAAAUAAUGCUCAGCAAGUGGAGGAAGAGAGGUAAAAGCGUGAGUCAGCGAGUAAGGAAAGGCUGUGACCUCAGCGAGUCCACUAAAGAAGCGGUCAGGCACACGGUGGACACCCACGUCAUCAGAAGACACCGGUUUUCCAGGUGCAGGUGCAGCUCUCCCGUCCACCCAGACUCUUGCCUUGUCCUACUCUGUGCUCCUCACCCACAGUGGGGUCAUGUACUCAGGGAGGGUAGAACAUCGUGAAGCUCUGCACAGUCACACGGUGCCACCGUUAGGAAGUGACCCUGAAUGCUUUGUGGAAAUAGAAAACUAGAAGGAAUGUGACAAAGAUGAUGUAUUUGACUAUGAACUAUGUCUUAUUUAACUUCUCCCAGUUCUUUCCUACUGUAGGGCCUGUUGGAAUUAUUAUUAUUACUUUUUUGUUUUUGGGGGGCAGGGUCUCACUAUGUGCUUCAGGCUGGCCUUGAACUCAUUAUGUGCCCCAGGCUGGCCUCGAACUCACAGUGAUCCACCUGCCUCAGCCUCCCUAGUGCUGGGAUCACAGACGUGUGCCACCACUCCUGGCCUAAAAUUAUUACCCAUC